AUACGAACUGUGCAAACGUUAUUCGGAAUCACUGGGCUUAAAGGGUGCGUAGGCGGACUUGAAGGUCCGAUGUGAAAUCCCACGGCUCAACCGUGGAAUUGCGUCGGAAACCACAAGUCUUGAGGGAGUCAGAGGUAAGCGGAACUGAUGGUGGAGCGGUGAAACGCGUUGAUAUCAUCAGGAACACCGGUGGCGAAAGCGGCUUACUGGGACUUUUCUGACGCUGAGGCACGAAAGCUAGGGGAGCGAACGGGAUUAGAAACCCUAGUAGUCC
This 274-nucleotide ribosomal RNA is filed under the name uncultured bacterium. Its description in RNAcentral is "partial 16S ribosomal RNA". It matches the Rfam family "Bacterial small subunit ribosomal RNA", at positions 523 to 796 of the family's 1533-position model. The record is from RNAcentral.